UACGGGGGGGGCAAGCGUUGUUCGGAAUUACUGGGCGUAAAGGGCUCGUAGGUGGCCAACUAAGUCGGACGUGAAAUCCCUCAGCUUAACUGGGGAACUGCGUCCGAUACUGGAUGGCUUGAGUUUGGGAGAGGGAUGCGGAAUUCCAGGUGUAGCGGUGAAAUGCGUAGAUAUCUGGAGGAACACCGGUGGCGAAGGCGGCAUCCUGGACCAACACUGACACUGAUGAGCGAAAGCCAGGGGAGCAAACGGG
Molecule: ribosomal RNA, 253 nt
Filed under: uncultured bacterium
Lineage: Bacteria
Description: partial 16S ribosomal RNA
Rfam family: Bacterial small subunit ribosomal RNA
Source: RNAcentral